UCUGNAACCCGACUACAUGAAGCUGGAAUCGCUAGUAAUCGCGGAUCAGAAUGCCGCGGUGAAUACGUUCCCGGGUCUUGUACACACCGCCCGUCACACCAUGGGAGUCGGAAAUGCCCGAAGUCUGUGACCCAACCUGCAAGGGAGGGAGCAGCCGAAGGCAGGUCGGAUGACUGGGGUGAAGUCGUAACAAGGUAGC
RNAcentral lists this ribosomal RNA (199 nucleotides) under uncultured bacterium. RNAcentral describes it as "partial 16S ribosomal RNA". It matches the Rfam family "Bacterial small subunit ribosomal RNA", at positions 1304 to 1500 of the family's 1533-position model. The record is from RNAcentral.